GCCGGAGUGGCGGAAUGGCAGACGCACACGACUCAAAAUCGUGCGGGAAACCGUGUGAGUUCGACUCUCACCUCCGGCACCA
Molecule: transfer RNA, 82 nt
Filed under: Clostridia bacterium
Lineage: Bacteria; Bacillati; Bacillota; Clostridia
Also listed under: 1 other name
Description: tRNA-Leu
Rfam family: tRNA
About the family: Transfer RNA (tRNA) molecules are approximately 80 nucleotides in length.
Source: RNAcentral